Molecule: long non-coding RNA, 707 nt
Organism: Salvia miltiorrhiza (redroot sage)
Lineage: Eukaryota; Viridiplantae; Streptophyta; Magnoliopsida; Lamiales; Lamiaceae
Exons: 2
Source: RefSeq, a predicted model, not a curated record
CUUUCAUCAUGGACUACCACCGCUGCUGUCCUCUUUGGUGUAGACGGGCUCGAUGCCUCAUCGCGCCGUUGUUGUUAUAGUCAGAUUCCAGCGAGGCAGCAAGGGAUCGCCGCCGUCAUUCCCUCGGCUCGACUGAACAGGCUGAACUCAAGAAGAAAAUGGAGAAGUUUAAGUUGAGCUUACCUCUUGGGGUCCAGAUUGCAGCUGAAAUAAACUCUCUAUGAUUUUUGGUGCAUAAAGGAAGGAGGGGGAAUCGUAGUUGGUGAUUUUCAGGCUACUAUGAAGCCCUCAAUUUAUAGGCAGAUUAGGCCGCAAAACUUGAAAACUAUUUACAGCAAAUGUGGAAAUUUUGCUGCAAUUUUUGACAAAAAUGAAAUUGGUUGGUGGCUGCCAUAAUUUUUUUUGACUAAUAGUGGAAUUUCAUGUGAGACUUUGAAAAGUGGAGUACUCAUAGGGUGCAUCUGAUCCUAGUUGUAUCUUAGCAUGCUUCAAAUAUUAAAUUGUGACUUUUGCAGGGAAAAGAGUAUGACCUUAGCAGAGUUAAAGAAAAGGGGCUGCUAUGUGUGUACUAUCUAUAUUUUAUUUCUUGAUUUUGUAUACUCUAUUGAUAGUGUAGGAGCGUAGGGAGUGUGAAAGAAAAAUGAUGAUUGUAAGUAAAUAGAAUUGAGGUGACUAAUAAAAAUCUCUUGCCUUGAUUAAUUAAUCAA